AGAGUUUGAUCAUGGCUCAGGACGAACGCUGGCGGCGUGCUUAACACAUGCAAGUCGAACGAUGAAGCCCAGCUUGCUGGGUGGAUUAGUGGCGAACGGGUGAGUAACACGUGGGUGAUCUGCCCUGCACUUCGGGAUAAGCCUGGGAAACUGGGUCUAAUACCGGAUAUGACCAAGGACUGCAUGGUUUUUGGUGGAAAGGUUUACUGGUGCAGGAUGAGCCCGCGGCCUAUCAGCUUGUUGGUGGGGUAAUGGCCUACCAAGGCGACGACGGGUAGCCGGCCUGAGAGGGCGACCGGCCACACUGGGACUGAGACACGGCCCAGACUCCUACGGGAGGCAGCAGUGGGGAAUAUUGCACAAUGGGCGAAAGCCUGAUGCAGCGACGCCGCGUGAGGGAUGACGGCCUUCGGGUUGUAAACCUCUUUCAGCAGGGACGAAGCGCAAGUGACGGUACCUGCAGAAGAAGCACCGGCCAACUACGUGCCAGCAGCCGCGGUAAUACGUAGGGUGCGAGCGUUGUCCGGAAUUACUGGGCGUAAAGAGCUCGUAGGCGGUUUGUCGCGUCGUCUGUGAAAACCCGCAGCUCAACUGCGGGCUUGCAGGCGAUACGGGCAGACUUGAGUACUGCAGGGGAGACUGGAAUUCCUGGUGUAGCGGUGAAAUGCGCAGAUAUCAGGAGGAACACCGGUGGCGAAGGCGGGUCUCUGGGCAGUAACUGACGCUGAGGAGCGAAAGCGUGGGUAGCGAACAGGAUUAGAUACCCUGGUAGUCCACGCCGUAGACGGUGGGCGCUAGGU
Molecule: ribosomal RNA, 800 nt
Filed under: uncultured bacterium
Lineage: Bacteria
Description: bacterial SSU rRNA
Rfam family: Bacterial small subunit ribosomal RNA
Source: RNAcentral